Molecule: long non-coding RNA, 605 nt
Organism: Brassica napus (rape)
Lineage: Eukaryota; Viridiplantae; Streptophyta; Magnoliopsida; Brassicales; Brassicaceae
Exons: 4
Source: RefSeq, a predicted model, not a curated record
UCCUCUUCUUCAUCUUUCGAUCAUCUUUUUGGUCCAAGAAACUCUUCCUCGUCUUCUUCAUCAACAACAGGAUUGUUCCAAUCCAUUUUCCCACCACCUGCAACGGGGGCUCAAGCAGACUUGGCAAAUCGAAAUGGAGCUGCCAAAUAUGAGCAUCCGAAUUUUGGGAUUUCAUGUGAGUUUAUUCACUAUUAGUGACUUUACUCAAGUGUUUAGGUCCUUUUGGAGUGUCAUUCCUUGAGAAAUUGUUUUAUUUCAACUUAUACUUAACUAUGAGCUCAAUGAAAUACUACUUCACGUAUUAAAAGUGAGAAAUUUGAUUGGGGCUACAGAUGAAAGAGGAGAAAUGAGGAAAAAUAAGGAGAAAAAGAAUUACCAAAAUGAAGAAACACAACCACCAUGCAACUUGAGCUCAUCCAUUUACUAUGGGGGCCAAGAAAACUAUCCUUCUUCAACACCACCACAAUCAACAAACAAUCCAGAUGCUUAUAAGAAAAAUGGAAAGGAAGGCGAUUCUGAAAGUGCUUCAAGAGGAAACUGGUGGGAAGGCUCAGUUUAUUACUAGUUAUCAAUUCUACCCGAUGCUGCACUCUAUAAAAAGGUAC